GGUGGCUCAGUGGUAGAGCUCUUGCCUUGCAUGCAUGAGGCCCUGGGUUCGAUUCCACAGCACCA
Non-coding RNA from Dipodomys ordii (Ord's kangaroo rat), 65 nucleotides. NCBI's taxonomy places the organism in Eukaryota, Metazoa, Chordata, Mammalia, Rodentia, Heteromyidae. The record is from Rfam.